RNAcentral lists this ribosomal RNA (301 nucleotides) under uncultured bacterium. Its description in RNAcentral is "partial 16S ribosomal RNA". It matches the Rfam family "Bacterial small subunit ribosomal RNA", at positions 509 to 807 of the family's 1533-position model. The record is from RNAcentral.
CAGUCGCCGCGGUAAAACGAAGGGUGCAAGCGUUACUCGGAAUUACUGGGCGUAAAGCGUGCGUAGGUGGUGGUUUAAGUCCGUUGUGAAAGCCCUGGGCUCAACCUGGGAAUUGCAGUGGAUACUGGGUCACUAGAGUGUGGUAGAGGAUAGUGGAAUUUCCGGUGUAGCAGUGAAAUGCGUAGAGAUCGGAAGGAACAUCUGGGGCGAAGGCGACUAUCUGGGCCAACACUGACACUGAGGCACGAAAGCGUGGGGAGCAAACAGGAUUAGAUACCCCAGUAGUCCCUGUCUCUUAUAC